This 1149-nucleotide ribosomal RNA is filed under the name uncultured bacterium. RNAcentral describes it as "bacterial SSU rRNA". It matches the Rfam family "Bacterial small subunit ribosomal RNA", at positions 353 to 1482 of the family's 1533-position model. The record is from RNAcentral.
AGUGGGGAAUUUUGGACAAUGGGCGAAAGCCUGAUCCAGCGACGCCGCGUGGGGGACGAAGCCCUUCGGGGUGUAAACCCCUGUUGUGAGGGACGAAUAAGGUUCGGAGGAAAUGCCGAGCCGAUGACGGUACCUCACGAGAAAGCCCCGGCUAACUACGUGCCAGCAGCCGCGGUAAUACGUAGGGGGCGAGCGUUACCCGGAUUCACUGGGCGUAAAGGGGGCGUAGGCGACUCAGUGUGUCGGGUGUGAAAUCCCACGGCUCAACCGUGGAAUUGCGCCCGAAACUACUGGGUUUGGGGCUGGUAGAGGGAGAUGGAACUGCUGGUGUAGGGGUGAAAUCCGUAGAUAUCAGCAGGAACGCCGGUGGGGAAGCCGGUCUCCUGGGCCAUGCCCGACGCUGAGGCCCGAAAGCUAGGGGAGCAAACCGGAUUAGAUACCCGGGUAGUCCUAGCCGUAAACGAUGCUCACUAGGUGUGGGGGAGUCAUUCCUCCGUGCUGCAGUUAACGCGUUAAGUGAGCCGCCUGGGGAGUACGCCCGCAAGGGUGAAACUCAAAGGAAUUGGCGGGACCCCGCACAAGCGGUGGAGCGUGUGGUUUAAUUGGAUGCUAAGCCAAGAACCUUACCAGGGCUUGACAUGCGGGUAGUACUAACCCGAAAGGGAAGGGACCCUUUCCUUUUGGAAAGGGAGCUCGCACAGGUGGUGCACGGCCGUCGUCAGCUCGUGCCGUGAGGUGUUGGGUUAAGUCCCGCAACGAGCGCAACCCCUGCCCUUAGUUGCCAGCGGUUCGGCCGGGCACUCUAAGGGGACUGCCGGCGACGAGCCGGAGGAAGGAGGGGACGACGUCAGGUACUCGUGCCCUUUAUGCCCUGGGCUACACACGCGCUACAAUGGGUGGUACAAUGGGUUGCUACUUCGCGAGGAGAAGCUAAUCCCAAAAACCACCCCCAGUUCAGAUCGCAGGCUGCAACCCGCCUGCGUGAAGCCGGAAUCGCUAGUAAUCGCGGAUCAGCCACGCCGCGGUGAAUACGUUCCCGGGGUUUGCACACACCGCCCGUCAAGCCACCCGAGUCGGGGGCACCUGAAGACGCUUAUCCUAACCCGAAAGGGAGGGAAGGCGUUGAAGGUGAAUCUGGUGAGGGGGGCU